RNAcentral lists this ribosomal RNA (251 nucleotides) under uncultured bacterium. Its description in RNAcentral is "partial 16S ribosomal RNA". It matches the Rfam family "Bacterial small subunit ribosomal RNA", at positions 524 to 776 of the family's 1533-position model. The record is from RNAcentral.
GACAUAGGUGGCGAACGUUAUCCGGAAUUAUUGGGCGUAAAGGAUGCGUAGAUGGCAGAAUAAGUUACUGGUCGAUGCCAAACUCAAUUUGACGGAAGCUGGUAAUACUGUUCUGCUAGAGGGCAGGAGAGGUUGAUGGAAUUCCUGGUGUAGCGGUGAAAUGCGUAGAUAUCAGGAGGAACACCUGUGGCGAAAGCGGCUCACUGGACCAUAACUGACGCUGAUGCACGAAAGCUAGGGGAGCAAACAGG